Molecule: ribosomal RNA, 445 nt
Filed under: uncultured bacterium
Lineage: Bacteria
Description: partial 16S ribosomal RNA
Rfam family: Bacterial small subunit ribosomal RNA
Source: RNAcentral
ACCAGACUCCUACGGGAGGCAGCAGUGGGGGAUAUUGCACAAUGGGGGGAACCCUGAUGCAGCGACGCCGCGUGGGUGAAGAAGCGCCUCGGCGCGUAAAGCCCUGUCAGCAGGGAAGAAAAUGACGGUACCUGAAGAAGAAGCCCCGGCUAACUACGUGCCAGCAGCCGCGGUAAUACGUAGGGGGCAAGCGUUAUCCGGAUUUACUGGGUGUAAAGGGGGCGCAGACGGCGAUGCAAGCCAGGAGUGAAAGCCCGGGGCCCAACCCCGGGACUGCUCUUGGAACUGCGUGGCUGGAGUGCAGGAGGGGCAGGCGGAAUUCCUGGUGUAGCGGUGAAAUGCGUAGAUAUCAGGAGGAACACCGGUGGCGAAGGCGGCCUGCUGGACUGUAACUGACGUUGAGGCUCGAAAGCGUGGGGAGCAAACAGGAUUAGAUACCCGGGUA